This 463-nucleotide ribosomal RNA is filed under the name uncultured bacterium. RNAcentral describes it as "partial 16S ribosomal RNA". It matches the Rfam family "Bacterial small subunit ribosomal RNA", at positions 28 to 507 of the family's 1533-position model. The record is from RNAcentral.
GACGAACGCUGGCGGCGUGCUUAACACAUGCAAGUCGAACGGAAAGGCCUUUUCGGAGGUACUCGAGUGGCGAACGGGUGAGUAACACGUGGGUGAUCUGCCCUGCACUCUGGGUUAAGCCUGGGGAACUGGGUCUAAUACCGGAUAGGACCGCACUUUAGUGUGUGUGGUGGAAAGUUUUUUCGGUGUAGGAUGAGCCCGCGGCCUAUCAGCUUGUUGGUGGGGUAAUGGCCUACCAAGGCGGCGACGGGUAGCCGGACUGAGAGGUUGGUCGGCCACAUUGGGACUGAGAGACGGCCCAGACUCCUACGGGAGGCAGCAGUGGGGAAUAUUGCACAAUGGGCGCAAGCCUGAUGCAGCGACGCCGCGUGGGGGAUGACGGCCUUCGGGUUGUAAACUCCUUUCGCCAGGGACGAAGCGUUUUGUGACGGUACCUGGAGAAGAAGCACCGGCUAACUACGUG